GUCGCGGGGUGCAUUUUCUGCUUGGACCUUUUUUUGUAAGUAAUUGCAGUCGCUGAAGAAGGUUUGAAAAUGAAAACAAGUCAUCUUAUAAAUGUAUAUUGAUCCUGGUUCUGAAAAGCUGGCAACCUGUUCCGUUUCUGACAGCAGCGGAGCAGCGAGAAAGUAAACAGCCGCCCACCAUAGUAGUAUAUAUCAUACACGUUCUGUCAAACGAGUGAUUUAUGACACCCCCCCCCCAGAGUGAUUUAUGACUCCCCCUGUGAUUGACAGAUCAGUUUUGAUUGACAAGUCAGCUGGGUUUUUACGACACCCACACAACCCCCAGGAUUUAUGACAUAAUUGUUCAGGUGUCAGUGUGCUGCCUUUGGUGGGGUCACUUCCCCCACCCCAUGCUGUGUGAGCAAUUAAUGGUAUGACUAUGUGUCUUCUGCUAUGUGUUAAAGAUGUCUGGGGGCUUUCGCUAAGUUGUUUGAUGUUAGAAAGUUUCCUGUAUCAACAGACUAAACAGCUGCAAACAGUGAUAGUGAUUCUGUUUUUACGCCUAUUAGUGUGGACCAAUCAAACACAAAGGAUUGGAAUAGGCUAUAGCAGGGGCGGGUCUUGAGAAAAUGGUGUAUUUAGUUGGUUCGCAAGCGCCGUGCAUUAACCUAUUCAACCUUCGAUUUGGAAGCAACAUGCCAGCAUUCUUGGUAAAUGUGUGUUCUACAGACUUUACCUGAAUUUCUGUUGUAAGUAAUUCAAUAGUGUUUCAACUUUUUGCUUAACAGGUUUUUCUCAGUCUAGGUGCAUCUGAGUUUGAAACAAUCCUUGCUAUUAGAAGUAUUGAAAGGUUGUCUCAACUUGGUCUCUUAACACCGCCGGGAUUUGACGCUGUACCAAGUACCACAGGGUUCAGCCACAGACAACAACAGGUCCAGAUCGCCAACGUUUAAGCCCUUUUUGACAAGCAGGCCCGGGGAACCACUGCAGGGCCGAUGCAGACCAAGUGUUAACGAUAAGCCUGUUUCACACGGAAAGCAUCCAAUGAGAUGCUCGAGUGCAAAUGACAAGUCCAUUUCACAUGGAAAACGCCUUAGAUUUGAUGAUAGAUCCAAAUCUGUAGAUUUGUACACCAGUGGCCGUUCGGCGUAUGUUGAUGUGGGGGUAUCUGGAGCGGCUGGGGAUGGCUUAAGACCGAAUCAGGAGCACGAACGUCGGGUAAGCAGCACUUACCAUUCUAAUGAUAUCAAUGAGCUUAGAACGUUGGUGAGGCAACAGUCUCAAGAGAUCACUAAAAUUAUCAUUGAACUGCGCAGACAAGAUGCUAUCGGGCGUAGAUGUAAUAUUGCUAUUCAGAAACUAAACCUACAUAAUGAGAAAAUAGUACAAGAAAAUCGUACACUGUACAAACAAAUAUCAAAGCAUACACAGAUGAUACAGGCUAUGCCUGAAGUUCAUGAUGCACAU
This is a long non-coding RNA of Colossoma macropomum (tambaqui), 1446 nucleotides long. RefSeq lists it as uncharacterized. The record is from RefSeq and is a predicted model, not a curated record. The transcript has 3 exons. Lineage: Eukaryota; Metazoa; Chordata; Actinopteri; Characiformes; Serrasalmidae.